RNAcentral lists this unclassified non-coding RNA (315 nucleotides) under uncultured bacterium. RNAcentral describes it as "contains 16S-23S intergenic spacer region". The record is from RNAcentral.
ACCUAAAACCCCAAAACUUAACAUGCCCAAUCUGUGUCGAAAAAUGUUUCAAUAAUGGUUCUGUUCCGCAAGUUCCUAAAACAAAUACUCGUCGACAACACCCAAACCAAAACAAAAGCCCGAACCUUUUUCACCUCAACCUCAACCGCAACCGCAUUCCCAUGGUGCGCGCCUCACCAUAACAACCGCCUCUUCCGGUCCCCAGGCCCAGGCCCUCUCUUCCUCGCUCGGCCUCCAUGGAAACUCUCUCAGUCCGCCACCCCUCUCUAUUCGCACGGAAACGCCUUCAAUUUGCUUCGCUCCACAGCCCCUCUC